RNAcentral lists this ribosomal RNA (423 nucleotides) under Microsporidia sp. clade X. RNAcentral describes it as "SSU rRNA". It matches the Rfam family "Eukaryotic small subunit ribosomal RNA", at positions 1341 to 1791 of the family's 1831-position model. The record is from RNAcentral. Lineage: Eukaryota; Fungi; Microsporidia.
CCAAGUGUGUUAGUUAGGGGGGCGUGAGGCUUCACGGGCCGUCUUCUUAGCACGACAGUCGGUGACUAACCGAUGGAAGCUUGGCAAUAACAGGUCUGUGAUGCCCUUAGAUGUUCUGGGCCGCACGCGCGCUACACUGAUCAAGGCAGCGAGUUGCAGCUUUACCGGAAGGUAUGGCGAAGCUUUUGCAACUUGAUCGUGCUGGGGAUUGACCAUUGCAAUUAUUGGUCAUGAACGAGGAAUUCCUAGUAAGUGCGAGUCAACAGCUUGCGCUGAUUACGUCCCUGUCCUUUGUACACACCGCCCGUCGAUACUACCGAUUGAAUGGUUUAGUGAGGUUUUCGGAGACGCGCAAGGCGGCGAAAGCAGCGUUGCGGGGCGCAAAGAUGAGCAAACUUGGCCAUUUAGAGGAAGUAAAAGUCG